RNAcentral lists this ribosomal RNA (716 nucleotides) under uncultured eukaryote. Its description in RNAcentral is "SSU rRNA". It matches the Rfam family "Eukaryotic small subunit ribosomal RNA", at positions 680 to 1426 of the family's 1831-position model. The record is from RNAcentral.
GGCCGUAAGGCCGGACUUGGUCGUCGCGCCUCUGCUGGGGGACUCGUUGCUUCGGCGGCGAGGUAACCUACGUUACUGUGAAGAAAUUAGAGUGUUUAAAGCAGCGAUCGGCUUGAAUACAUCAGCAUGGAAUAACAAGAUAUGACAUAUGUCUUCUUGUUGGUUUGGGGACAAAUGUAAUGAUUAAUAGGGCCCAGUUGGGGGCAUUAGUAUUCAGUAGUCAGAGGUGAAAUUCUUGGAUUUACUGAAGACUAACUAAUGCGAAAGCAUUUGCCAAGGAUGUUUUCAUUAAUCAAGAACGAAAGUUAGGGGAUCGAAGACGAUCAGAUACCGUCGUAGUCUUAACUAUAAACGAUGCCGACUAAGGAUCGGCAGAAGUCGUUAGCGACUCUGUCGGCACUUUGUGAGAAAUCAAAGUUUUUGGGUUCUGGGGGGAGUAUGGUCGCAAGGCUGAAACUUAAAGGAAUUGACGGAAGGGCACCACCAGGAGUGGAGCCUGCGGCUUAAUUUGACUCAACACGGGAAAACUCACCAGGUCCGGACAUAGUAAGGAUUGACAGAUUGAGAGCUCUUUCUUGAUUCUGUGGGUGGUGGUGCAUGGCCGUUCUUAGUUGGUGGAGCGAUUUGUCUGGUUAAUUCCGAUAACGAACGAGACCUUAACCUGCUAACUAGUUGCAGGUACUUUUGUAUCUGACACUUCUUAGAGGGACUGACUA